UACGUAGGGUGCGAGCGUUGUCCGGAAUUAUUGGGCGUAAAGGGCUCGUAGGCGGUCUGUUGCGUCAGGAGUGAAAACUCGGGGCUUAACCCCGAGCCUGCUUCUGAUACGGGCAGACUAGAGGUAUGCAGGGGAGAACGGAAUUCCUGGUGUAGCGGUGAAAUGCGCAGAUAUCAGGAGGAACGCCGGUGGCGAAGGCGGGUCUCUGGGCCGAUACUGACGCUGAGGAGCGAAAGCGUGGGGAGCGAACAGG
Molecule: ribosomal RNA, 253 nt
Filed under: uncultured bacterium
Lineage: Bacteria
Description: partial 16S ribosomal RNA
Rfam family: Bacterial small subunit ribosomal RNA
Source: RNAcentral